GGGGGGACAGGGUGACAGGUGGUGCAUGGUUGUCGUCAGCUCGUGUCGUGAGAUGUUGGGUUAAGUCCCGCAACGAGCGCAACCCUCGCCUCUAGUUGCCAGCAUUCGGUUGGGCACUCUAGAGGGACUGCCGGCGACAAGUCGGAGGAAGGUGGGGAUGACGUCAAAUCAUCAUGCCCCUUAUGACCUGGGCUACACACGUGCUACAAUGGGCGGUACAAAGGGCUGCGAACCCGCGAGGGGGAGCGAAUCCCAAAAAGCCGCUCUCAGUUCGGAUUGCAGGCUGCAACUCGCCUGCAUGAAGCCGGAAUCGCUAGUAAUCGCGGAUCAGCAUGCCGCGGUGAAUACGUUCCCGGGCCUUGUACACACCGCCCGUCACACCACGAGAGCUUGCAACACCCGAAGUCGGUGAGGUAACCCGCAAGGGAGCCAGCCGCCGAAGGUGGGGCAAGUGAUUGGGGUGAAGUCGUAACAAGGUAGCCGUACCGGAAGGUGCGGCUGGAUCACCUCCU
This 512-nucleotide ribosomal RNA is filed under the name Geobacillus stearothermophilus. RNAcentral's name for it is "bacterial SSU rRNA". It matches the Rfam family "Bacterial small subunit ribosomal RNA", at positions 1020 to 1531 of the family's 1533-position model. The record is from RNAcentral. Lineage: Bacteria; Bacillati; Bacillota; Bacilli; Caryophanales; Anoxybacillaceae.